AUAUAUAUUUCGCUAAGCUCCGAAUCUAAAAAUACACAUCGUAGUCAAACCAAUAGAUCUCUUGCUAUACUCCGAAUCCAAAAAAGCACAUAUUGGUAAAACUAAUAGAUCCCUCGCUACAUUCAACAAUAAUUAUAACGAAAUUAAAUUGAGUAUUACAUCAAGAAACAAGGAAUAUGCAAUAGAAAAAUUGUUUAAAUUGAAACUCAGAUUCAGAUGAUCAAAAAAAUCCAGAAGUAUGAUUUGGAGGCAUCUGUGCUAGGUGCUAUAUCUAAUACGCGGCCACCAUACCAUGUGCUAUAUUUUAGCAUGGCCGCCCGAAUUGUCCACCUCUUCAUCGACAUAUGUUUCCCCCCACCCCUUUUUCGACUAUACCUAUCGUUAUCAUGAUUUAAAACCAUGACUAUACCUC
Cinara cedri is the source of this 412-nucleotide non-coding RNA. The record is from the annotation of a GenBank genome assembly. Lineage: Eukaryota; Metazoa; Arthropoda; Insecta; Hemiptera; Aphididae.